GGGGAAUAUUGGACAAUGGGGGAAACCCUGAUCCAGCAAUGCCGCGUGAGUGAUGAAGGCCUUCGGGUUGUAAAGCUCUUUUACCUGUGACGAUAAUGACGGUAACAGGGGAAUAAGCUCCGGCUAACUUCGUGCCAGCAGCCGCGGUAAUACGAAGGGAGCUAGCGUUGUUCGGAAUUACUGGGCGUAAAGGGCGCGUAGGCGGUCCUAAUAAGUUAGAUGUGAAAGACCUGGGCUUAACCUGGGAAGUGCAUUUAAGACUGUGGGACUAGAGGAUGAGAGAGGAAAGUGGAAUGACAAGUGUAGAGGUGAAAUUCGUAGAUAUUUGUUGGAACACCAGUGGCGAAGGCGACUUUCUGGAUCAUAACUGACGCUAAGGCGCGAAAGCGUGGGGAGCAAAC
This 401-nucleotide ribosomal RNA is filed under the name uncultured bacterium. RNAcentral's name for it is "bacterial SSU rRNA". It matches the Rfam family "Bacterial small subunit ribosomal RNA", at positions 356 to 773 of the family's 1533-position model. The record is from RNAcentral.